Daphnia pulex (common water flea) is the source of this 594-nucleotide long non-coding RNA. RefSeq lists it as uncharacterized. NCBI's taxonomy places the organism in Eukaryota, Metazoa, Arthropoda, Branchiopoda, Diplostraca, Daphniidae. The record is from RefSeq and is a predicted model, not a curated record. The transcript is spliced from 4 exons.
CGGGCAUCAAAGUUUUGAGACAACUGACUUUCAACUAGUUCUUUUCCAUCGAGACGCUGGCCGAGAAGGUUACUUUAGUUAUUUCUGGGUAAUUUCUUUCCCGACAUUGUUCUUCAUAAAAAAGGAUGGUGGAGAUGUUUCUCAAUGUGCAGUGCAGAUGAGUGCCCUGAAGUUCUGCAAGAUGUCUGUAAUUGUAUCAUGUUGCGAGAUGAAAAUGGGAAGAAAAUGGAAAUCUGAAAUGAUUCCUUGGUAAAUUUGGUGUUGAAGCUGUCAAUGGUGGUGAUUUCUGGUGUGCAGUGGUGUGGCAGUCAUUUUCUGAUUGAGAAAUGCACUCAUAUGAAGCUUCUGCAGACUUGCUGUUCAACAUCAGACUUGAAAAAACAAUGUUGGUGUCGAUGCAGUGUUGAGCUGUUGUGAAAAAUAGUUGGUGUUGUCAGAUGACUCUGGCAUUUUGUUGGUGUGUUCUUCUGCUUCCUGUACACAUGUUGAGUUCAAUCGGACGCCGCCGUUUCAGACUUGAUCCACUGGUGAAGCUGAGGAGAAGUUGUUAUUCAAGACUGAAUCUGAUAGAUUAUUAUUCAGAUUUAAACAAAU